GAUGAACGCUGGCGGCGUGCCUAAUACAUGCAAGUCGAGCGAACGGACGAGAAGCUUGCGUCUCUGAUGUUAGCGGCGGACGGGUGAGUAACACGUGGAUAACCUACCUAUAAGACUGGGAUAACUUCGGGAAACCGGAUCUAAUACCGGAUAAUAUUUUGAACCGCAUGGUUCAAAAGUGAAAGACGGUUUUGCUGUCACUUAUAGAUGGAUCCGCGCUGCAUUAGCUAGUUGGUAAGGUAACGGCUUACCAAGGCAACGAUGCAUAGCCGACCUGAGAGGGUGAUCGGCCACACUGGAACUGAGACACGGUCCAGACUCCUACGGGAGGCAGCAGUAGGGAAUCUUCCGCAAUGGGCGAAAGCCUGACGGAGCAACGCCGCGUGAGUGAUGAAGGUCUUCGGAUCGUAAAACUCUGUUAUUAGGGAAGAACAUAUGUGUAAGUAACUGUGCACAUCUUGACGGUACCUAAUCAGAAAGCCACGGCUAACUACGUG
Molecule: ribosomal RNA, 497 nt
Filed under: uncultured bacterium
Lineage: Bacteria
Description: partial 16S ribosomal RNA
Rfam family: Bacterial small subunit ribosomal RNA
Source: RNAcentral